Molecule: non-coding RNA, 82 nt
Organism: Ciona savignyi (Pacific transparent sea squirt)
Lineage: Eukaryota; Metazoa; Chordata; Ascidiacea; Phlebobranchia; Cionidae
Source: Rfam
GGUAGCAUGGCCGAGGGGUCUAAGGCGCUGGUUUAAGGCACCAGUCAUUUCGAUGGCAUGGGUUCGAAUCCCACUGCUGCCA